AAAAAGAAUUCUGCUUCCUAAGAAGGAAAAAUGAUUGAACAGCAGGAACUCUGAAAAGGUUGAGCUGAAGGUCUUCAUUACCAGCGGAAGAAAACCCUGCAGCAAAUGAGACAACCAAAAAUACUUUGUGUCUUGGGAGCUGCUCUGCUUUAUAGAAACUUUCUUAAAAUCAUCUGUGAUUUAUACUGGAACUAAAAAUGUCUGUUAUAUUCCAGCUCCUAUGGUAAGUAUCUUGAAAGACCUCUGCCAACAGUCCCAGUGGAGUUGCAGUUGCCUCCAGUCUCAAACAAACAUAGAACUU
RNAcentral lists this long non-coding RNA (301 nucleotides) under Coturnix japonica (Japanese quail). RNAcentral's name for it is "lncRNA (ENSCJPG00005012147.1)". The record is from RNAcentral. Lineage: Eukaryota; Metazoa; Chordata; Aves; Galliformes; Phasianidae.